AGAGUUUGAUCCUGGCUCAGAACGAACGCUGGCGGCAUGCCUAAUACAUGCAAGUCGAACGCGCCUAGCGAUAGGCGAGUGGCGGACGGGUGAGUAACGCGUGGGAACCUGCCCUUGAGUGCGGGAUAACCGAGGGAAACUUCGGCUAAUACCGCAUGCGCCCCGGGGUGACCUGGGGGAAAGAUUUAUCGCUCGAGGAG
RNAcentral lists this ribosomal RNA (200 nucleotides) under uncultured bacterium. RNAcentral's name for it is "partial 16S ribosomal RNA". It matches the Rfam family "Bacterial small subunit ribosomal RNA", at positions 8 to 226 of the family's 1533-position model. The record is from RNAcentral.